CAUCUACCUUACUCGAAAUAACCCGUCGAUGAAGACCACUAAAUGACGAAUCCUAAUAGCCCAAUGGGUUUCAUUGCGGAUAUGAGGCAUUUGUCUGAGCGGG
Small nucleolar RNA from Caenorhabditis elegans, 103 nucleotides. The record is from Ensembl. NCBI's taxonomy places the organism in Eukaryota, Metazoa, Nematoda, Chromadorea, Rhabditida, Rhabditidae.